RNAcentral lists this non-coding RNA (117 nucleotides) under Emticicia oligotrophica. RNAcentral describes it as "SAM-I sequence". It matches the Rfam family "SAM riboswitch aptamer (S box leader)". From Rfam's summary of the family: The SAM riboswitch is found upstream of a number of genes which code for proteins involved in methionine or cysteine biosynthesis in Gram-positive bacteria. The SAM riboswitch acts at the level of transcription termination control. The predicted structure consists of a complex stem-loop region followed by a single stem loop terminator region. Lineage: Bacteria; Pseudomonadati; Bacteroidota; Cytophagia; Cytophagales; Leadbetterellaceae. The record is from RNAcentral.
GAUUUAUACAGACGAGUGGAGAGAAUAGGCUCUAUGAACCUCGGGCAACCUGUCCCGCUACUAGCGAUAAGGUGCCAACACCUACCGAAUGGGUCAGACCUUUCGGACUUAUAAACC